GACGCGGUGGCCUAAUGGUUAGAGCGUUGGGCUCUGGAACCGGAUCGUUCGGUCCGGGUUCUAGCCCUGGCCGAGGUCA
Non-coding RNA from Desmophyllum pertusum, 79 nucleotides. Lineage: Eukaryota; Metazoa; Cnidaria; Anthozoa; Scleractinia; Caryophylliidae. The record is from the annotation of a GenBank genome assembly.